CACUUGGAGUGGUGAAUCAAAAACUCUGGUUUUAAGUAACCUUUCCUACAGUACAACAGAAGAAACUCUUCAGGAAGUAUUUGAGAAGGCAACUUUUAUCAAAGUGCCCCAGAACCAAAAUGGAACAUCCAAAGGAUAUGCACUUACAGAAUUUGCUUCAUUUGAAGAUGCUAAAGAAACUUUAAAAUUCUGUAAUAAAAAAGAAACUAAGGGCAAAGCAAUCAGGCUUGGAUUGCAAGGACCGAGAGGAUCGCCUAAUGCAAGAAGCCAGAUAUCCAAAACUGUUUGGCAAAGAUCUGAGGAGACUACGGAAGAGAGAUUGAAGGAGUCAUUUGAUGGCUCUGUCCAGGCAAGGAUAGUCACUGACCAGGAGAAGGGCUCUUCCAAAGGGUUUGAUUUUGUAGAUUCCAACAGUGAGGAAGAUGCCAAAGCUGCCAAGGAGGCCAUGGAAGAUGGUGAAAUUGAUGGAAACAAAGUUACUUUGGACUGGGCUAAGAUGGUAGAGCGUCGUGUAGGGAUAGAGAGU
This is a long non-coding RNA of Pipistrellus kuhlii (Kuhl's pipistrelle), 526 nucleotides long. RefSeq lists it as uncharacterized. The transcript is spliced from 4 exons. The record is from RefSeq and is a predicted model, not a curated record. Lineage: Eukaryota; Metazoa; Chordata; Mammalia; Chiroptera; Vespertilionidae.